CAUGCAUGUCUAAGUAUAAGCAAUUUAUACAGUGAAACUGCGAAUGGCUCAUUAAAUCAGUUAUCGUUUAUUUGAUAGUUCCUUUACUACAUGGAAUACCUGUGGUAAUUCUAGAGCUAAUACAUGCUUAAAAUCCCGACUCUUGUGGAAGGGAUGUAUUUAUUAGAUAAAAAAUCAAUGUCUUCGGACUCUUUGAUGAUUCAUAAUAACUUUUCGAAUCGCAUGGCCUUGUGCUGGCGAUGGUUCAUUCAAAUUUCUGCCCUAUCAACUUUCGAUGGUAGGAUAGUGGCCUACCAUGGUUUCAACGGGUAACGGGGAAUAAGGGUUCGAUUCCGGAGAGGGAGCCUGAGAAACGGCUACCACAUCCAAGGAAGGCAGCAGGCGCGCAAAUUACCCAAUCCUAAUACAGGGAGGUAGUGACAAUAAAUAACGAUACAGGGCCCAUUCGGGUCUUGUAAUUGGAAUGAGUACAAUGUAAAUACCUUAACGAGGAACAAUUGGAGGGCAAGUCUGGUGCCAGCAGCCGCGGUAAUUCCAGCUCCAAUAGCGUAUAUUAAAGUUGUUGCAGUUAAAAAGCUCGUAGUUGAACCUUGGGCCUGGUUGGCCGGUCCGAUUUUUUUCGUGUACUGUGUUGACCGGGUCUUUCCUUCUGGCUAACCAUUUGUCCUUGUGGCAGAUGGCGAACCAGGACAUUUACUUUGAAAAAAUUAGAGUGUUCAAAGCAGGCGUAAGCUCGAAUAUAUUAGCAUGGAAUAAUAGAAUAGGACGUUUGGUUCUAUUUUGUUGGUUUCUAGGACCAUCGUAAUGAUUAAUAGGGACGGUCGGGGGCAUCAGUAUUCAGUUGUCAGAGGUGAAAUUCUUGGAUUUACUGAAGACUAACUACUGCGAAAGCAUUUGCCAAGGACGUUUUCAUUAAUCAAGAACGAAAGUUAGGGGAUCGAAGAUGAUCAGAUACCGUCGUAGUCUUAACCAUAAACUAUGCCGACUAGGGAUCGGGUGGUGUUUUUUAUUGACCCACUCGGCACCUUACGAGAAAUCAAAGUUUUUGGGUUCUGGGGGGAGUAUGGUCGCAAGGCUGAAACUUAAAGGAAUUGACGGAAGGGCACCACCAGGAGUGGAGCCUGCGGCUUAAUUUGACUCAACACGGGGAAACUCACCAGGUCCAGACACAAUAAGGAUUGACAGAUUGAGAGCUCUUUCUUGAUUUUGUGGGUGGUGGUGCAUGGCCGUUCUUAGUUGGUGGAGUGAUUUGUCUGCUUAAUUGCGAUAACGAACGAGACCUUAACCUACUAAAUAGUGAUGCUGGCUUUUGCUGGUUAUCUACUUCUUAGAGGGACUAUCGGUAUCAAGCCGAUGGAAGUUUGAGGCAAUAACAGGUCUGUGAUGCCCUUAGACGUUCUGGGCCGCACGCGCGCUACACUGACGGAGCCAGCGAGUAUAACCUUGGCCGAGAGGUCUGGGUAACCUUGUGAAACUCCGUCGUGCUGGGGAUAGAGCAUUGCAAUUAUUGCUCUUCAACGAGGAAUUCCUAGUAAGCGCAAGUCAUCAGCUUGCGUUGAUUACGUCCCUGCCCUUUGUACACACCCGCCCGUCACUAGUACCGAUUGAAUGGCUUAGUGAGGCCUCUGGAUUUGCUUAGAAGAGGGGGCAACUCCACUUCAGAGCGGAGAAAUUGUACAAACUUGGUCAUUUAGAGGAACUAAAAGUCGUAACAAGGUUUCCGUAGGUGAACCUGCGGAAGGAUCAUUUAAGAAAAAAACUGUUUAUAAACAGACGGUAGACUUUUCUUGGGGAGAAGUUAUUGAUUGCUUUGGCCUGCGCUUAACUGCGCGGCUAGUAGUUGAUGAUUUUGUUAUUAUCCGAGACGAAGGAAACGUCUGAUUUUAAAAACAUUCUACACUUUGGAGUACUUUUUUAUUAAUGUAUUUCUUCCUUGGACGAGCAAUUGUUCAAGGGUUAAUAAACACAAACAAUUUUUUUUUAAUUUUUAACACAAUUCAAAAAUAUAUCGUUUCUUUUAUUAGAAAUAUAAAAAUUUUAAAACUUUCAACAACGGAUCUCUUGGUUCUCGCAUCGAUGAAGAACGUAGCGAAUUGCGAUAAGUAAUGUGAAUUGCAGAUUUUCGUGAAUCAUUGAAUUUUUGAACGCACAUUGCGCCCUUUGGUAUUCCAAAGGGCAUGCCUGUUUGAGCGUCAUUUCCUUCUCAAAAGAGUUUUUUUAUUCUUUUGGUUGUGAGUGAUACUUUUUCCUUUUACAGGGAAGGGGUUAACUUGAAAUUGUUGCUUAGCAAAGAAGAAUUUUGAUUAAAAUUUCUUGUUUAUUACUAUUAGGUUUAUCCCAACUAGUGAUUAUUGAGAGUUUUUAUUACAGAGUCUUUUCACUUUUGCUAUAAUACUAUUCUAUAAGUUUGACCUCAAAUCAGGUAGGAAUACCCGCUGAACUUAAGCAUAUCAAUAAGCGGAGGAAAAGAAACCAACCGGGAUUGCCCUAGUAACGGCGAGUGAAGCGGCAAAAGCUCAAAUUUGAAAUCUGGCAUCUUUGAUGUCCGAGUUGUAAUUUGAAGAGGUUACUUUGGAGGCUGGCUCUUGUCUAUGUUCCUUGGAACAGGACGUCAUGGAGGGUGAGAAUCCCGUCUGGCGAGAGUUUCAGUUUCUAUGUAAAGUAGCAUUCGACGAGUCGAGUUGUUUGGGAAUGCAGCUCAAAGUGGGUGGUAAAUUCCAUCUAAAGCUAAAUAUUGGCGAGAGACCGAUAGCGAACAAGUACAGUGAUGGAAAGAUGAAAAGAACUUUGAAAAGAGAGUGAAAAAGUACGUGAAAUUGUUGAAAGGGAAGGGCAUUUGAUCAGACAUGGUGUUUCGUGCUUCUUGCUCCUUGUGGGCGGGGAGACUCACACGGUUCACUGGGCCAACAUCAGUUUUGGCAGCAGGAUAAAACUUUGGGAACGUAGCUUUCUUCGGGAAGUAUUAUAGCCCUUGGCAAUACUGCUAGCCGGGAUUGAGGACUGCGCAUUAUGCAAGGAUGUGCUAAGAGGCGCCCUU
RNAcentral lists this ribosomal RNA (3037 nucleotides) under Saccharomycodes sp. QMW-2015. RNAcentral describes it as "eukaryotic LSU rRNA". The stretch from base 1 to 1749 matches the Rfam family "Eukaryotic small subunit ribosomal RNA". The record is from RNAcentral. Lineage: Eukaryota; Fungi; Ascomycota; Saccharomycetes; Saccharomycodales; Saccharomycodaceae.